Molecule: ribosomal RNA, 375 nt
Filed under: uncultured bacterium
Lineage: Bacteria
Description: bacterial SSU rRNA
Rfam family: Bacterial small subunit ribosomal RNA
Source: RNAcentral
UAAUACAGAGGGUGCGAGCGUUAAUCGGAAUUACUGGGCGUAAAGGGCGCGUAGGCGGUUAGAAAAGUGUGAUGUGAAAGCCCCGGGCUUAACCUGGGAAGUGCAUCGCAAACGAUCUAGCUAGAGUAUAGGAGAGGGUGGCGGAAUUUCCGGUGUAGCGGUGAAAUGCGUAGAUAUCGGAAGGAACGUCGAUGGCGAAGGCAGCCACCUGGCCUAAUACUGACGCUGAGGCGCGAAAGCGUGGGUAGCGAACAGGAUUAGAUACCCUGGUAGUCCACGCUGUAAACGAUGAAGACUAGAUGUUGCUAGGGGAACUUAGUAGUAUCGAAGCAAACGCGAUAAGUCUUCCGCCUGGGAAGUACGGCCGCAAGGUUG